Molecule: microRNA precursor, 125 nt
Organism: Equus caballus (horse)
Lineage: Eukaryota; Metazoa; Chordata; Mammalia; Perissodactyla; Equidae
Source: Ensembl
AGGGGCCACUGGAUGGCUGGGUCACAGGUGGUACAAAGGAUCAGCCAUUCUUGGGCCGUUGGGCAACCACUGAGAUGAGGCUGUGUUCCACAGGUGUGAUGUUUACACUGGCCCUUCACCAGGCA